RNAcentral lists this long non-coding RNA (2096 nucleotides) under Helianthus annuus (common sunflower). RNAcentral describes it as "hypothetical non coding rna". The record is from RNAcentral. Lineage: Eukaryota; Viridiplantae; Streptophyta; Magnoliopsida; Asterales; Asteraceae.
UUUUGAGUGUUCGUUGUAUAGAUCGAGUCGAAACUCUGUCCGGUUGUCGUUGUUACGUAAUAAAACGUUUUUUAAUUACGCUUCGCGCACGAUUACGGUUCGAUUUAACGGAUUCCGCACGUUAAAUCGAAUCCACCGCAGAUCUAGUGAUCGUUUACGAUCCGAUCCUGAACUCACAAGUGGUAUUAGAGCUACGGAUAGCUCUGCGUGUAAUCGUUUGCGAAUCGGACGAGUUUCGAAUGAUUUCGACUUGAUUCAGUGAAGUUUUAGGUUGUUUCGGUUGAUUUUUGAUGUGUUUCAAACAAUUUUAGAUCUGAUUAGGUUUGUGUCAGAUUGAAUCUUAUACAUAUCAGAUCUGAUACACUGUUCUCGGAUUGAUUUUCGGUAAAUUUCGGUUCGUUUCAAUAAUUUCUGGUUGAGUUUCGGUGAUUUUCAAACUGAUUUGGUUGUUUGUCAAAUAGAUUUCAAACUGUGCUGAUUGUUUUCGGUAUAAUCGGAUCAUGUUAGAUUGAUUUUCAUUCAGUUUUGGUGUAUCGAAUGUGUAUAUCGAACAGAAUCGAUGAUGUUCAGUUAAAGUUUUUGAUAGUUUCGGACAGUUCACAUCAGAAAAUUGAUUGAUGAACUGAUUUGAGUAUGAUGUUCAUCAUGGAUGUUGAAAUAUAUCGAUCUAAUGGAUGUGUGAAUGAAUGUUUUUCUGGUUUGAUCGAUCUUAAUCUGAUCAAAUUGUUGCAACAGUUUGUAGAAUGAAAUCUGAUUUGAAAUAGGUGAUAACUGAUAGUUAUAGAUGAUGAAAUACUUGAUAAUUGUUAAUUGCACAUGGUGUUAUCUGGAUUUGAGUAGACCUGUACUUUGAUCUUAGUCAUCUGAAUUGGUUAUAUUCGCGAUAAAAGUUGUUAUGAUUGUUGUAUAAAAAUAGAAAAGAGUUUCAAGAUCUGAAACUUGAAAUAAAAAUGAAUUGUAAGUUGUAGUUCCAGAUUUGAAUCGACUGAGUAUCAACUUAUUGUUUACAAAGAUAGUCUGAUUGUUGAUUGUUCGAAAUAACAAUUUGCAGUAUCAGCUGCAAUUCACAAAUGAUCGACAUCGGACGAAUUUCGGUGACAUUGAUCCUGAUUUCGAUCAGUUUCGAACUGAUUUUGUGAUGAAUUGUUCAUCAUGAAUGCGUUUUAGUGUGUUUGAAACUUGUUUUGAUCGAUUUCGGAUUGUUUCGUGUGAUUUCGAUGAAUUUCAAAUCAUUUUGGUGUAUAUUGGAUCGAGCCUGAACGUCUCUGUUAGUUUUAGAACUAAGUGAUAAGGUACAUCUCAUUGUUUGGAUAUUCAUCGAAGUUACAACAGUGAAGUUUUUUUGCAAAAAAUAUGUUUGUUUGGUUAUAAACUGAUUUGCAGGUUAAUAUUGAGUAGUGUUUGCUGGUGAUAUAAAAAAAAUCGCAAAUUAUAAAGUUAAUGAGCUGUUAAAAGUGUAGACUUAGGUUUUUGGGUAUAAUAAUCAAAUUAAGUUGAGUGUCAUAAAAUUGUGGUCACCCACAAAGUGGUUAAUAUCAAUUUUGAUGGUUCUUUGUCCAAGUGAAACAACUUAGUGUUGUCAGCUCACUUAAUUACGGCCCAAUCAUAUUCUUUUGAUAGUCAAUAGUGUUGGCCCAACUAAUAAACUUCAAUAACGACAUCAUUCAUCUCGACCCAAUUAACAAAGUAUUGUCAGACUUGUCAUGUGAAUAAGUGCAGCCCAAUUCAUUAUACGGCCCAAUCAAAGACAUCACAAUCCAAUUCAAGAGAUCUUGUUUUGUUCAAGCUUAAAGUGCAACAAAUCGAGCGGCAAUCCAAACGAGUUGCCACCCGAUCCUAAUUAGUUCUUUUUGUCUGUGUUUCAGGUGAUUUGUCAAGCAUCGGAUACUCGCCCGAGCAAAUCUCCACCCGAUCCGUUGUCACCGGAUUUUUGUCACUCAAUCGGAUAUUCAUCUGAUUCAGUGGUUUGAUAAAGUGAUUGAACUGAUCUUAGAUUGUUUGAAUUUUCGUAUCGUUUAAAAAUCUGUCUUUGUAAAUAUUUCAAAACCGAAACAUGGGUUCUGAGUUUUAUAUUACACAGAAUAAGUUUGAAAGUU